Molecule: long non-coding RNA, 181 nt
Organism: Cydia strobilella
Lineage: Eukaryota; Metazoa; Arthropoda; Insecta; Lepidoptera; Tortricidae
Exons: 4
Source: RefSeq, a predicted model, not a curated record
CAGAUUUAGCAACUGCACAGACUUAUCUAUACCGUCGUACUCUCUUCGAUACUCUGGAAUUUUGGAGCGGAGAGUCAUUGAAAUUAAAAAAAGACGAUAAAAACUGCAGAGGAAAUAAAAUAGACACCAAUAGCAGUGAGACAAAUAAGACUGCAAAUGUGAAAAGCGGUAGGAGACUCCA